This 574-nucleotide ribosomal RNA is filed under the name Fuligo cinerea. Its description in RNAcentral is "SSU rRNA". It matches the Rfam family "Eukaryotic small subunit ribosomal RNA", at positions 28 to 536 of the family's 1831-position model. The record is from RNAcentral. Lineage: Eukaryota; Evosea; Eumycetozoa; Physariida; Physaraceae.
AUGCUUCUCCUAAAGACUAAGCCAUGCAUGCCUCGAUUAGAAGAGCAUUUCUCUCUGAAUCUGCGAACGGCUCCGCAAACCAGUUGUAAACCAUAGCAAGCACGCCUUGGGCGGGGGGGUCGCAAGGCCUCCCCAUCACCCUUGGCUAUAAGGAUAUCCCUGGUAAUUCUGAGGCUAAUACUUGAAUGUAACCCCCUGCCGACGGGCAACUGGACGCAGGGGACCGUGCGAGUCGGACGCAUCACACCAUGGGAGUAGUCGCACAGUAAGACCUCCAUCCAAACGGUCCUUUUCCAAGCCGGCCUCCGGGUCGGUACGGUCUUGGUCCGGGAGGCUCUUGCAAGGUGCUUCUGACCUAUCAACUAGAUGGCAGUGUAAGGGACAUGCUAUGGUGACAACGGGUACAGAGGAUAAGGGUUCGAUCCUGGAGAGUGGGCCUGAGAGAUUGCUCAUACUUCUAAGGAAGGCAGCAGGCGCGCAACGUUCCCAGUGGGCAAUGCCCGAGGGCGUUAGGGGACAUAUGAAUGGCUGCCUUAUGGUGGCCAAUUCAAAUGGGACUGUUCUAAACAGCCUA